RNAcentral lists this ribosomal RNA (253 nucleotides) under uncultured bacterium. RNAcentral's name for it is "partial 16S ribosomal RNA". It matches the Rfam family "Bacterial small subunit ribosomal RNA", at positions 524 to 776 of the family's 1533-position model. The record is from RNAcentral.
CACGUAGGGUGCGAGCGUUGUCCGGAAUUAUUGGGCGUAAAGAGCUCGUAGGCGGUUCGUCGCGUCGGCUGUGAAAUCCCGAGGCUCAACCUCGGGUCUGCAGUCGAUACGGGCGGACUGGAGUUCGGCAGGGGAGACUGGAAUUCCCGGUGUAGCGGUGAAAUGCGCAGAUAUCGGGAGGAACACCGGUGGCGAAGGCGGUUCUCUGGGCCUUACCUGACGCUGAGGAGCGAAAGCGUGGGGAGCGAACAGG